AAUAGACCCACCAAGGGAAGGACGAGAGCCUUCGACCAAGGUUCGAAUUGAGCGUAGCGAAAUAACAGUGCGCGUAGCGCAUUCGCCCGCAGGGUGAGGAACGAAGUGACGAAUCAUCCUUCCCCCACCACCA
Regulatory RNA element from Xenorhabdus innexi, 133 nucleotides. It matches the Rfam family "RtT RNA". Rfam says of the family: This family represents a bacterial cis-regulatory element known as RtT RNA. The exact function of RtT is unknown although it is thought that it may be involved in changing the cellular response in relation to amino acid starvation. NCBI's taxonomy places the organism in Bacteria, Pseudomonadati, Pseudomonadota, Gammaproteobacteria, Enterobacterales, Morganellaceae. The record is from Rfam.